CUACGGGGGGCUGCAGGCGCGGAACCUUUACAAUGCACGAAAGUGUGAUAAGGGGAUCCCAAGUGCCUUGCUUUUAGCAAGGCUUUUGCCAUAUGUAAAAAGUAUGGCGAAUAAGUGGUGGGUAAGACUUGUGCCAGCCGCCGCGGUAACACCAGCGCCACAAGUGGCAACCGCUUUUAUUGGGCCUAAAGCGUCCGUAGCCGGUUCAGUAAAUUUUCUGUGAAAUCGUUGGGCUUAACCUAACGUCGUGCAGGAAAGACUACUGGACUAGGGACCGGGAGGCGUCAGAGGUAUUCCUGAGGGAGCGGUAAAAUGCUAUAAUCUCAGGAGGACCCCCUGUGGCGAAAGCGUCUGACGAGAACGGAUCCGACGGUCAGGGACGAAAGCUAAGGGAGCAAACCGGAUUAGAUACCCGCGUAGUC
Molecule: ribosomal RNA, 422 nt
Filed under: uncultured archaeon
Lineage: Archaea
Description: partial 16S ribosomal RNA
Rfam family: Archaeal small subunit ribosomal RNA
Source: RNAcentral